GAUGAAGAACGUAGUGAAAUGCGAUAAGUAGUGUGAAUUGCAGAAUUCAGUGAAUCAUCGAAUCUUUGAACGCACAUUGCGCCCUUUGGUAUUCCAAAGGGCAUGCCUGUUCGAGCGUCAUUUGUACCCUCAAGCUUUGCUUGGUGUUGGGCGUCUUGUCUCUAGCUUUGCUGGAGACUCGCCUUAAAGUAAUUGGCAGCCGGCCUACUGGUUUCGGAGCGCAGCACAAGUCGCACUCUCUAUCAGCAAAGGUCUAGCAUCCAUUGAGACUUUUUUUCAACUUUUGACCUCGGAUCAGGUAGGGAUACCCGCUGAACUUAAGCAUAUCAAUAAGCGGAGGA
This 341-nucleotide unclassified non-coding RNA is filed under the name soil metagenome. RNAcentral's name for it is "partial contains 5.8S ribosomal RNA, internal transcribed spacer 2, and large subunit ribosomal RNA". The stretch from base 1 to 120 matches the Rfam family "5.8S ribosomal RNA", at positions 35 to 154 of the family's 154-position model. The record is from RNAcentral.